CAAAUUUCUUAGGAAAACUGUUCCCUGGGAGAGUAUAAAAGUAAGGUGCAGAAAACAUGAUGCUCACAGUAUUGCACACUCGGCAAGGGAGGAUUCUUCAAAUCUGAUUAGAGGCCUGCAAAAACGAAAGCCGUUGCUUCUGUUUCUAAGAUACAAGGAUUCUGCAUCCUUUAAGACGAGGAUGACUCCUUCAAUCCAGUGCAUCAUUGUCCUGGCCUGCUGUAUCACUUACACUUCAAUGGCUAUUUUGCAGUGCCGGUGUAUAAAAAGAAGCAAGUCCCUUAACCCCUCUCUCAUUGCUGGUGUCGAGGAGUAUCCGCCUCGUCCAUACUGCAACCAAAGAGAAGUAAUUGCCAUACUGAAAAAUAACAGCAAACAGUGUCUUGACCCCAGUUCAAAAUUCACCCAAGCAGUCCUGCAGACAAUAAAAAGGCAGAGGGCGGUCCAACCUCAUAAGAGGAUCAUCGCCAGCCCAAUAACAACCAAAAAUUGGGCAACCACAUCAUCAGCCACAGAGUCAGCUACAUCAUCAGCUACAGCAACGCCAACAUCAUCAUAAUGCAAAUGUGUUUAUCAUCGUUGCAAUUAAACAGAGGUAUCUAAUUUGUACACCUUCCCAAAAGGUUAGGGUUGCUGUUUGUUCCUGUUUGUUUCUACAAAGUCAAACCCAGGCACUUGCUGAAACAAGUGAAAUUGUUUCACUUCAGUUGUUUUGAGUGUUGUUCACUGGAAGCUAAAAGUUAAUACUCCAGAAUCCAUAACUGAGGAUGGGCACUUUUAGUAGACUGUUUGUAAAGCUAGAGUAUUCUUCCAGGUAAACGGAUGCAUGUAUGAAAUGUGAUUUAAGUAAGCUGGUAAGACUAUUGUAUUUCCAUCUUAAAAAACUGCCUUAAGUUUUCAUCCACUGUU
Molecule: long non-coding RNA, 909 nt
Organism: Etheostoma spectabile (orangethroat darter)
Lineage: Eukaryota; Metazoa; Chordata; Actinopteri; Perciformes; Percidae
Exons: 6
Source: RefSeq, a predicted model, not a curated record